Molecule: long non-coding RNA, 778 nt
Organism: Corythoichthys intestinalis (scribbled pipefish)
Lineage: Eukaryota; Metazoa; Chordata; Actinopteri; Syngnathiformes; Syngnathidae
Exons: 5
Source: RefSeq, a predicted model, not a curated record
AGGACUUUCAUUAAACCACACGCAGCAGCAGAGAGUUGACAAGCUGCAUAAAAAGAAACAGGUGCUAGCUGCACAAGCUUUGUAUGCACACGAGUCCGCGUUCACUCGCCCAGGACCUCCAAAGUGGCAGGCGGCCACGAGUUUUCACGGCAUUCGAAGGCAUUUCACAGAAAAGCAAUAAAGUGCCCGUCUUUGAGAAUCCGUGCCCUGUGAUGUCAUUUUGGAAGCUACAGUGAAAACUCGCCCAGCCCAGCGCCGGUGAGAAGCUCAUUAAGACGACGACGCCAGCUGCGGUAAAAGACGGUGACCUGGCGGUAUACCACAGUGCGAUGCUGAAGUACACCCAAAAGAGGCUCCACUUUGUCUAUAACUCCAUGAAGGCAAGGACACUGAUGUCUGUUAUGGACCACAAUGAAAAUGUCGGGCGCCAGCAACAGAGGAACGCCGAUGGCACUUUGAAAUACAGCUUGGAGUUUCCAAAGCGAACAAAAAGAUGGGUUGCCCGGAGCUGUUACGAGCCAACAACGCAGACAUUCAGAGAGAAUUUGGUGGAUCGUGUCCUGGAAAGACGGCAGGAUUCAUCAUUGAAGUUUGCUGAGCCAGACUUCUUUUUCAAGCCUCCAACUACUAUUCCACCGAACGUUGCAAACAUCGAAAGGCCUGACAAAGAAAAAGUUAAUUUUACAACAUGUCAGUCGAUUUAAAAAAUAAUUAGGCAGACAUUUUCCUUUUUUUUUUUUUUUUUUUUUUAAUAUUUUAGAAUGUAGAUAUUUUUGAA